UUAGAGUUUGAUCAUGGCUCAGAUUGAACGCUGGCGGCAGGCUUAACACAUGCAAGUCGAGCGGCAGCACGGGAAGCUUGCUUCCUGGUGGCGAGCGGCGGACGGGUGAGUAAUGCAUAGGAAUCUGCCCGGUAGUGGGGGAUAACCUGGGGAAACCCAGGCUAAUACCGCAUACGUCCUACGGGAGAAAGCAGGGGCUCUUCGGACCUUGCGCUAUCGGAUGAGCCUAUGUCGGAUUAGCUGGUUGGUGAGGUAAUGGCUCACCAAGGCGACGAUCCGUAGCUGGUCUGAGAGGAUGAUCAGCCACAUCGGGACUGAGACACGGCCCGAACUCCUACGGGAGGCAGCAGUGGGGAAUAUUGGACAAUGGGCGCAAGCCUGAUCCAGCCAUGCCGCGUGUGUGAAGAAGGCCUUAGGGUUGUAAAGCACUUUCAGUGGGGAAGAAAGCCUUCCGGCUAAUACCCGGGAGGAAGGACAUCACCCACAGAAGAAGCACCGGCUAACUCCGUGCCAGCAGCCGCGGUAAUACGGAGGGUGCGAGCGUUAAUCGGAAUUACUGGGCGUAAAGCGCGCGUAGGUGGCUUGAUAAGCCGGUUGUGAAAGCCCUGGGCUCAACCUGGGAACGGCAUCCGGAACUGUCAGGCUAGAGUGCAGGAGAGGAAGGUAGAAUUCCCGGUGUAGCGGUGAAAUGCGUAGAGAUCGGGAGGAAUACCAGUGGCGAAGGCGGCCUUCUGGACUGACACUGACACUGAGGUGCGAAAGCGUGGGUAGCAAACAGGAUUAGAUACCCUGGUAGUCCACGCCGUAAACGAUGUCGACUAGCCGUUGGGUCCUUCGCGGACUUUGUGGCGCAGUUAACGCGAUAAGUCGACCGCCUGGGGAGUACGGCCGCAAGGUUAAAACUCAAAUGAAUUGACGGGGGCCCGCACAAGCGGUGGAGCAUGUGGUUUAAUUCGAUGCAACGCGAAGAACCUUACCUACCCUUGACAUCCUGCGAACCCUUCGGAGACGAAGGGGUGCCUUCGGGAACGCAGAGACAGGUGCUGCAUGGCUGUCGUCAGCUCGUGUUGUGAAAUGUUGGGUUAAGUCCCGUAACGAGCGCAACCCUUGUCCUUAUUUGCCAGCGAGUAAUGUCGGGAACUCUAAGGAGACUGCCGGUGACAAACCGGAGGAAGGUGGGGACGACGUCAAGUCAUCAUGGCCCUUACGGGUAGGGCUACACACGUGCUACAAUGGUCGGUACAAAGGGUUGCGAACUUGCGAAAGUGAGCUAAUCCCAGAAAGCUGAUCUCAGUCCGGAUCGGAGUCUGCAACUCGACUCCGUGAAGUCGGAAUCGCUAGUAAUCGUGAAUCAGAAUGUCACGGUGAAUACGUUCCCGGGCCUUGUACACACCGCCCGUCACACCAUGGGAGUGGACUGCACCAGAAGUGGUUAGCCUAACCUUCGGGAGGGCGAUCACCACGGUGUGGUUCAUGACUGGGGUGAAGUCGUAACAAGGUAACGGAA
Molecule: ribosomal RNA, 1507 nt
Filed under: Halomonas nitritophilus
Lineage: Bacteria; Pseudomonadati; Pseudomonadota; Gammaproteobacteria; Oceanospirillales; Halomonadaceae
Description: bacterial SSU rRNA
Rfam family: Bacterial small subunit ribosomal RNA
Source: RNAcentral